Long non-coding RNA from Ceratitis capitata (Mediterranean fruit fly), 697 nucleotides. RefSeq lists it as uncharacterized. The record is from RefSeq and is a predicted model, not a curated record. NCBI's taxonomy places the organism in Eukaryota, Metazoa, Arthropoda, Insecta, Diptera, Tephritidae. The transcript has 2 exons.
UAUGUGUGUGUGUGUGUGUUGUGUGUGCCGUCACUGUCAGAGUCACAGACAAUGUCGAUGGCGUUGUCGACGUCGUCAUUGUACCCCUAAAAGAAGCGUAUUCAAUGCAAACAGUAACGUCUCAGUCAGCAGCGCUGUUUCCGUAAACUUCACACCGUCCGACUUUCUUUUUAUUUUUGCAAUCAGCGUAUGUGCAUCCGUUUAGCGCGUCUCUCAUCCGCACGAGCAGAAAUGCACAUAUUUUCACAUAUGUAUGUAAUACAAUUGCACUUUAUGCUCAUACCGCACAACCCCCGCAAUAGAUAUGAAUAACUUUUUUACCCAGCUGCUGCCAACCCAUCGUCGUCCAACCACCAACCCAACACCCAGUGGCCGAAGCAACGACUUUCAACGUCGCGCUGUUGAUGCGCGUAAGGAUUUUCCUGUCACUCUACGCUAGAGCGAUAUCCUUUCGAUUGUGAAUUUUCUCUUCGAAUGAAGGUAAACUUUUUGAAUAUGUACACAGUGAAGUGGCGAACGAGCGAACGACAGGCGUCAGUGCUGCGAACCUUUGCAAUUUUGCCCGUCAUGAGAUGGCUAAAAAUGGUGGCGUAGAAUAUGCGGGAAGUUUUCGUAUGUUUCCGUUGGUAAAGCAGUACAUAACGGAAGUUGAGAAAAUGUAAAAGUAGAAAGCCAAAAUGAAGGAAUUUUCACAUUA